AUGUGCUCGCUUUUUUUUCAGGUCACACCCUCUACCCAUUGGGCAUUUGAGCACAGAGUUACAGUGCACAUUCUCUUGGCAAGCCUCCAAUUGCGCUUUCUGGAACUUCUCUUUCCAACCAUUCAUACAGGCUUUUCCAGAUCACAGAUGAAAACCUCUUACUUCCUUUGUCACUCCCAUAGACUAAAGCUCCUUCUUUGUGAAGAUGACUCAAGGAGGGAGAGAAGAGGAGAAGCCACAGCCCAUCAACGUCUCUGGGCAUCACACCCCACUUGGCUGGGCUGUACGAGAAACUUACUGACAAAGAGGAUAUUUCAAUAGAAUCCUGAGAAAUAUUCAGGGCAAGAUUCCAAACUCCACGCACGGUUGGGCUUUUAAAAACACUGCUUAUUGGUGAUGAUUCUUAAGCACAGUGCCUCUGACUUUCCGUCUUUGUUCUGAUCUUCCAGGAAAUUAGAGGACAGACAGACAGACACACACACACACAACACACACACACACACACACUCCUUCAUUCUUCAGUGUAGGCAUAUAUCUGGAUUGGGCAAAGACUUCUUACCCUUACUUUAAGGGAAUCACAGUACAUAAUUAAUGCAAGUGAUUCUUUCACAGAAAUUCUAUGAGGUUCUUGGCACCUAGCCCUUGAACAAUACUUCCUGUCCACUAAUUUCCUUCUUCACUGCCUCUAGACCUGGCUUUACCAGUCUUGUGUAUUUGUCUUGAACUGCUGGGUCCCGCCAUACCUUGCUUUAAGCCCAGUAACCCUGUAAUUCCUAUAAAAAGUUUGGCAGUCAUGCCCCACUUCUCAGCAAGACUUAAUAACAGUGAUCUUCAGGAAGGUCUCAUAAUACUAGGUCAUCAUUAUUUGUAUAAUAUAUGCUAUUAAGAAUUAUCACAAAUAAUGGAAACUAAACUGCACUUGUAAAAAUAAAGAAACAAAGUACACGCUGUGGUGUGGCUGU
Molecule: long non-coding RNA, 962 nt
Filed under: Felis catus (domestic cat)
Lineage: Eukaryota; Metazoa; Chordata; Mammalia; Carnivora; Felidae
Description: lncRNA (ENSFCAG00000053789.1)
Source: RNAcentral